CAGCAGAGGGCACUCUGGACUACUGGCAUGCUCAGUUCCUGUCUGUUACGUAUAUAAAGCACAUGGACUCACACACACCACAAAACCUUGCCGUUUAUUCUCAGUGAGCCAUCGUGUCUUGCUCUGAUCUCUGUGUAUGACCUUGCAUUGUCUUUUUGUUCUUCCUUUUGGAUCUCCCUUUGGAUAUUUCUCUAUGCUCUAUGGUGUUUGACCUCUACCUGGCUUGUGUGAAUACUCUUUGGAUCACCAAAUACAGAUAUCCUACUCCUCUGGUUCUGGCAGCCCUAGUACAGGAAAGGCUGCCCUGGAAACAUAUAAACAUGGAAGGUAACAUGGUCAUAAGGAAGAUUGAAUGACAAAAUAAGGAGGCGUGUCGUUUGGCUAGAUAUUCCUCUAUUUCCUUUCAAACUGGCUGAGGAAAUUCCCCUUUCUUUUACUGUAAUGACAGGCUGAUGAUGAUGUACUGACAUUAAUGAGUUACUUUGUACAGUUUCUCUCCACUGUAGAACAUUUUCAACAUAAUCUCACAUGGUGAACCACUCUAUCUACAUUUUAUUACACCGCUGUUGUUGUGUUUGUCUGCCUACUUUUGCUUUUAGUCAGUAAAAAUGACCUUAUUUCAAAUAAAAAUGUGGCAUUUUAUAGAUUUUUUUCAGCACAGAUAGCUUGAUGAUGUACACAAUCCUGUUGCUGACUGAGCAGUGGCUGUAUGUAUAAAGCCACUCAGAGUAAAAUUUUAGUCUUAUGAGUGUCAAAAUUCUAAGAAUGACAUGAUUAUACCUAAACUUAAGAAUACUUAAGAAUGAUUCAUAAAGCUUCCUAAGUGUUGAGACUAGGUCUCAGCUCCUAAAUUUGGAGAGGUAUCAUAACCUAGUUAAGAGUAACAAGAUGGCAGCAGAGAGGCAGAGACCACACACUUUCGAACAAAGAAAGCAAUACAGGCUUGAUCGUCAAAGUAUUCUUUUUUGUUACUGACCUAGUAAAAAAUUCAAUAACUUCUCCCACUCUAUGAAACAACACUCUAACUGCUGAAAUGAAAGUAAUAAUCACUCUGUGUUUUUUGGUGACUGGAAAAAUGCAGCAGUGCACCAGUGAUGAGUUGGGCCCAUCCCAGUCCACAGUAAGCAAGGUCUUAAAUACCGCUAUUGCGCCACUAACCACACCAAACAUAGUAAAGCAGUUCAUUGACUUCCCAACUGACCUUCAAACCAUACAGCAAAAGCAAGCCACUUUUAUGAGGAUUGUGGGCUUCCCCCGAAUUUGUUGGAGUCAUCGAUGGAACUCAUGUUCGCAUCAUUGCUCCAACUGUAAAUGAGGAGACAUACAUCAAUAGAAAAAAGGAUUCCACAGCAUCAGUGUUCAAGUUGUGUUUGAUGCCAAUUACAAGAUCCUGGAUAUCCUUUAAAACACUGGCUUCUUACCCCUUACAGAAGACCCCAAGGAGAACAGCAGCUCAAUUAUAACAGAGUGCACAAAGUAACAAGAGCUGUGGUGGAGAGAGGAAUUGGACAGCUGAAAAGGAGAUUUCACAUCCUUCAUGGACAGAUUUGACACUCCCCAGAGUGUGCUAGUUGCAUUAUUAUGGCUUGUGGCAUUGAACACAACAUUUGCAAAUCUCAUGACCUUCCACUGCUUGGUGAAGAUAAUGAUGAUGAUGAUCAUGAUCAUGAUGAUGACAGUGAUCAUGAUUAUGACGAGAAUGAUGACAAUACCACCGAGCACACAUUACAGAGUGUUUCAGGGAGAGCAUUGAUACAGGACUGCUUUGCCAACUUACAUUUUGGAGACUUAAUGUCACCCUGAGGGGCUGCACUCUUUACAAACCCUGUGUCUUGUGAGGCAGAAGGCUCAACUGGAGGACAUGGACAUCUCAGAUGUCCUGAGAUGAUCUCGGAGAAGCUGUGUUAGAUGGACCGGCUCCAGCAUCAUCCACACUACAUUCACAUGAAGAAGACAUUAAACAGUGCAAACAUGUUUAUUCAA
Long non-coding RNA from Pangasianodon hypophthalmus (striped catfish), 1983 nucleotides. RefSeq lists it as uncharacterized. NCBI's taxonomy places the organism in Eukaryota, Metazoa, Chordata, Actinopteri, Siluriformes, Pangasiidae. The record is from RefSeq and is a predicted model, not a curated record. The transcript is spliced from 4 exons.